CCCUGUGGCUCAGUUGGUAGAGCAUGGUGUUUGCAACGCCAGGGUUGUGGGUUCGAUUCCCAUAGGGG
This 68-nucleotide transfer RNA is filed under the name Salmo salar (Atlantic salmon). It matches the Rfam family "tRNA". Rfam says of the family: Transfer RNA (tRNA) molecules are approximately 80 nucleotides in length. Their secondary structure includes four short double-helical elements and three loops (D, anti-codon, and T loops). Further hydrogen bonds mediate the characteristic L-shaped molecular structure. tRNAs have two regions of fundamental functional importance: the anti-codon, which is responsible for specific mRNA codon recognition, and the 3' end, to which the tRNAs corresponding amino acid is attached (by aminoacyl-tRNA synthetases). tRNAs cope with the degeneracy of the genetic code in two manners: having more than one tRNA (with a specific anti-codon) for a particular amino acid; and 'wobble' base-pairing, i.e. permitting non-standard base-pairing at the 3rd anti-codon position. The record is from Rfam by way of RNAcentral. Lineage: Eukaryota; Metazoa; Chordata; Actinopteri; Salmoniformes; Salmonidae.